UACGUAGGUGGCAAGCGUUAUCCGGAUUUAUUGGGCGUAAAGGGAACGCAGGCGGUCUUUUAAGUCUGAUGUGAAAGCCUUCGGCUUAACCGGAGUAGUGCAUUGGAAACUGGGAGACUUGAGUGCAGAAGAGGAGAGUGGAACUCCAUGUGUAGCGGUGAAAUGCGUAGAUAUAUGGAAGAACACCAGUGGCAAAGCGGCUCUCUGGUCUGUAACUGACGCUGAGGUUCGAAAGCGUGGGUAGCAAACAGG
RNAcentral lists this ribosomal RNA (252 nucleotides) under uncultured bacterium. RNAcentral describes it as "partial 16S ribosomal RNA". It matches the Rfam family "Bacterial small subunit ribosomal RNA", at positions 524 to 776 of the family's 1533-position model. The record is from RNAcentral.